RNAcentral lists this ribosomal RNA (232 nucleotides) under uncultured bacterium. RNAcentral's name for it is "partial 16S ribosomal RNA". It matches the Rfam family "Bacterial small subunit ribosomal RNA", at positions 102 to 334 of the family's 1533-position model. The record is from RNAcentral.
ACGGGUGAGUAACACGUAUCCAACCUGCCGUCUACUCUUGGACAGCCUUCUGAAAGGAAGAUUAAUACAAGAUGGCAUCAUGAGUCCGCAUGUUCACAUGAUUAAAGGUAUUCCGGUAGACGAUGGGGAUGCGUUCCAUUAGAUAGUAGGCGGGGUAACGGUCCACCUAGUCUUCGAUGGAUAGGGGUUCUGAGAGGAAGGUCCCCCACAUUGGAACUGAGACACGGUCCAA